Molecule: ribosomal RNA, 145 nt
Filed under: Conticribra weissflogii
Lineage: Eukaryota; Bacillariophyta; Thalassiosirophyceae; Thalassiosirales; Thalassiosiraceae
Description: partial Trypanosomatid mitochondrial large subunit ribosomal RNA
Source: RNAcentral
AUCGAUUGGGAAGGUGGGGCUGAUAGUGAAGAUGAAAGGAAAGAUAUGGAGGCAAUGGUUACGAAAAAAGUGGAGAGGAGAAGCAGUUCUGCAAAGGAUGAGUCAAAAAUAGUUUCUGCUGACUCAGUCGAUGUCGAUUUCGAAC